CUACGGGGUGCUGCAGUGGGGAAUUUUGGACAAUGGGCGCAAGCCUGAUCCAGCCAUGCCGCGUGAGUGAAGAAGGCCUUCGGGUUGUAAAGCUCUUUCAGGUGGGAAGAAACGGUUAAUGUUAAUAGCAUUGACUACUGACGGUACCACCAGAAGAAGCACCGGCUAACUACGUGCCAGCAGCCGCGGUAAUACGUAGGGUGCGAGCGUUAAUCGGAAUUACUGGGCGUAAAGGGUGCGCAGGCGGUUUUGUAAGCCAGAUGUGAAAUCCCCGGGCGCAACCUGGGAACCGCAUUUGGGACUGCAAGGCUAGAGUACGGCAGAGGGGGGUAGAAUUCCACGUGUAGCAGUGAAAUGCGUAGAUAUGUGGAGGAAUACCGAUGGCGAAGGCAGCCCCCUGGGUCGAUACUGACGCUCAGGCACGAAAGCGUGGGGAGCAAACAGGAUUAGAUACCCCGGUAGUC
RNAcentral lists this ribosomal RNA (464 nucleotides) under uncultured bacterium. RNAcentral describes it as "partial 16S ribosomal RNA". It matches the Rfam family "Bacterial small subunit ribosomal RNA", at positions 339 to 795 of the family's 1533-position model. The record is from RNAcentral.